UUACCGUCUACGGAUGCUAAAUCCGAAGCGCCGACAACAACAGACUCGGACGGACAAAAAACAUACUUGACCACUGCUUCACUUGAAAUAGCGACGCGAAUUUUUCCACUUUUGGAAGAUGAGCUCUUGAUAUUCUCAUCUCAGUCGUACGAAUCAAUGCGCCUCAUCAUUGCGCCUAUCCGAAACUGUCUCUCCAAGAGCGUUGUCGAUUCAAAGAGUCUGCACCUUGUUAACGAAAGCUUGAGAAAGCUUUCCCAAAGCACUAAAGACAACGACGUUAAAGUUUUUCCCAACACUCGCCAGAGCGUCACCAAAAGGAGGGAAUUGUAUUCACAAAUGUGGACUGAAUUACAAAUGCUGGCUUCGAAGUAUUCCAACAUAUCUCCAUUGCACUCUCACGUGGCAGAAAAUAUCUAUUUUAGUGUUCCAUCGGAAUAUCUGUCAAAACUUCAUGGAAAUAAUAGUCAAGUCCCGCCAGACUCAAACAAAAGCGAUACUCAAAACUCUCCUCUACAAAGCCAUUCCAUGUCUAGUGGUACCGACUGCGUUGCCAAUGCCUCUAAAAACAGCCUAUCAGACCUCGAAUCUAAAAAAGCACAAACGGAACAACCUGCCACUCAUAGCGCAGUCAAAUCCGACCCCGGUUGCCGAUUUGAUCUAUCUUGGUCCGGGCUAGCCAUGGCGAAUCCAAAUGUCCCAAUUCUACCUGACGACGUCGACCCCAAUUCUCUGUAUGCUACUUAUUGGAAUUCCGCUAUCGAAUAGAGGCUUCUCAGUUUACCUGAAUUGCUGGUAAGCGAAAACAAAGUCUCUAAAAAUAUAGUCAAUACAGAGACAUCUGAUUCUGCACUCUCAAGUCCCUCAACCAGAAGAUAUGGCACAUAUCGCAUAACACACGUCUCUCCAAUGACGACAUUCUGUAAUUUUCAAUAGUAUCCUCGGACACUUUGGUCUAUUGAAUAGGAGGAGAAAAACCGAUCUCUGUCUUUCAGAAAGGUCUUGAGAUCUCGUUUACGACGAUAGCAUACCCUGUACAUUCAAUUCUCAUGUUCGAAGCCGAAGUCAAAAAAUUAGGCUUGAGCUCUCUGGAAUUGGCAAGAAUUGUCUGUUUUGAAACUCCCCAAACCUUAAAAAUCAAGCAAUUGUCCGUUUCGAUUACGAAUUCCAGGGUUCUCGGAUAUGGUAUGUACUCAGCAUAUCAUUUAAAAGCUGGCACAUCAGCGUUUCUAAGGGAGUGUACCGUUUUUCAAAUUUUGUACCGAACAAGUCCUCAAAAAAUCAAUCAAGACCUCUCCAUUUGUAAAUUCCAACUGUUCCGGGAUAUUCUGCAUACUGAUUAUUAGAGACGAAGAAGAUACAUGUGCUGUAUAUUGCUGGGAUGAAGA
This is a long non-coding RNA of Schistocerca gregaria, 1385 nucleotides long. RefSeq lists it as uncharacterized. The record is from RefSeq and is a predicted model, not a curated record. The transcript has 4 exons. Lineage: Eukaryota; Metazoa; Arthropoda; Insecta; Orthoptera; Acrididae.